GCUCCUGCGGAUCUCCUCCACCGACCAGGGCCGCUCCCACACGGGCUCGGACACCGGAGGCCGCUCCUGGUCGGGGGCGGUCCCGUUCAUCUGCAGCGGGAAGGACGAGAAGAGGGACUGAGCUCCGGGGAGGCGGCGGUCAGGGCCAAACCCGAACCCGAACCCCCGCCCUCACCAUCCUGGCUGUGCAGUUCGGUGGGCUCAGGGAGCCGCAGGACCGCACCCGCUAAGCCCCGAAAGUCUCCGGAAGCUAGCGGUGGGGGGCCUGGCACGUGACCGGCCUCACGUGACCAGAGAGCAGGUGACCUGCGCCUCAUGUGACCGGAUGCGGGGCGCUGCGGAAGGAGGCCGGGCAGCUCUCUGAGGUACGCGAGUUAGAAGAGCCCUGCAGUCCCAUGGGUGGACUUACGGAUUAUCAUACUAAGUGAAUGCUGCUGUACCUGUGGAUUAUGACACAAACAAGUGCCAGAUAAUCUUCAACAAGGAGACCUGCACCUAUGCAGUGGUGGAACAGGAGGACCCAGAAAAGACUUGUGCUGUCAGUGGAUGGGUGUUAUAAUGUGCUUCUCAUGGACCCAGAGCUCCCAGCCUGCUGGGGGCGCCCAGGUUCUCCCAGGCCAGGCGUCAUUCUCCUAUGGCCUCUAAUAGUCUAUGAUUGUGUAACCCCACCUAUCAGUCAAAAGUGUUUUGAGCAAACACUUGAAUAUGUGUAUACUUUUAGUUUAUACAUUAUGUAUGCAUUGAUAAUACACACAUUAUAAAGCAUGUAAACAUUUAAAGGAGACAAAAAUAAAUAUGAAUAAAAGUUAUUUUCCCUCCACUCCCAUAGAUCAUUGUGCAUCCCUUACUCAGGGGAGCACUGCUGCUUCUCUUGCUUCUGAUAGAUCUGUGCUUUGCUGCCCCAGUGUCCCACUAUCUGGUGAAAAAUUCAAAAUAUAAAUGUGUCUUAAAGAUGAAA
Long non-coding RNA from Lagenorhynchus albirostris (white-beaked dolphin), 958 nucleotides. RefSeq lists it as uncharacterized. The transcript is spliced from 2 exons. NCBI's taxonomy places the organism in Eukaryota, Metazoa, Chordata, Mammalia, Artiodactyla, Delphinidae. The record is from RefSeq and is a predicted model, not a curated record.